GUACCAUCAAGUGACCCAGCGAUACCAAGGGGUUGUUGACGCGCGGACAAAACAAAAUAAAUUUGUGAACAGCAUGCAUCAAUCAAAAACCGCGAAUAAAUAUUAAAAAGACGCUGAGCAGCUAAUUAAAUACAAUAGUAAUACUAUAUUAAUAGGGAAGCAAACUAUGCUAGGAUAUAAAAAAAGAAAACAAAGUAAUACUCGAAAAAUAUGCUAAUAAUAAGAUUGAUUAUUGAUAUUAUUAUACUUCACACACAGAAGACGGAAGGGAUUAUGGUAAGCAAAGUUAGUAGUUCUAGGAAGCAUAACAGGGAGACUUGGAAAGAGCUGCCAGUCGUAAUUCCCUGUUCCGCACCAUCCCGGUGAAUAAGAUUUGAUUGAGACUGGAAACCUGAUUGGAUAACAGUUUCCUUAGUUUAAGGUGUCUUCUUGUUAUCUAGGCCUGAGCAGAAGGCUCGCAUAAAAACCUUCUCGAUUAGCAAAUCAUCUUCGUCUAGAAGUCCUAACUUCUGGACAAAACCUGUACUUAUCACAGACAUAGACGUUGUCUGCCGUCUUAGAAAGUUGAAGCAUGCUAGUGAGCUCACCACGGAGUAAUCACGGAUGUUUCUGUGUCCUGCACCGAAUUGAUUGCUGUUAUAACGCCAUUGUAUAACGAAGCGCCUGCAGCUGACAACUCAUCGAUGAGUUCAUCAAAAAUAAAGAAAAAAUUUAAAAGUGGCAUCUCGCUCGAAUGUUUAAGUGUAAGAAGUCGUUUGCGCACUGAUAGUUGCGAAGCCAAACUUUUCCGUUCGUAUACGGCAUCUAAGUUCUUGAAAACUUCACGAGCUGUGGCACCACUAGAUGCAAAACCUAAAAAUGAGUCACCCAAGUGCGACAUCCUCUGGGCCAAAACCCUUUUGAAAAAUACACCCAAUUAUAUUAAUAAAAUACACGAGCUUUCUAUUUUAA
Drosophila nasuta is the source of this 951-nucleotide long non-coding RNA. RefSeq lists it as uncharacterized. The record is from RefSeq and is a predicted model, not a curated record. The transcript has 2 exons. NCBI's taxonomy places the organism in Eukaryota, Metazoa, Arthropoda, Insecta, Diptera, Drosophilidae.